Molecule: ribosomal RNA, 495 nt
Filed under: uncultured bacterium
Lineage: Bacteria
Description: partial 16S ribosomal RNA
Rfam family: Bacterial small subunit ribosomal RNA
Source: RNAcentral
AACGAACGCUGGCGGCGUGCCUAACACAUGCAAGUCGAACGGAAGUAGCAAUGCUUUAGUGGCGCACGGGUGAGUAAUACAUGGGAAUCUGCCUAUUGGAGGGGGAUAACUACGGAAAACUGUAGCUAAGACCGCGUAAGCAGCAGUAAUGCUGGAAAUGCUGGGACCGCAAGGCCAGCAGCCGAUAGAUGAGCCCAUGUCCCAUUAGCUAGUUGGCGGGGUAACAGCCCACCAAGGCGAAGAUGGGUAGCUGGUCUGAGAGGACGAUCAGCCACACUGGGACUGAGACACGGCCCAGACUCCUACGGGAGGCAGCAGUGGGGAAUAUUGCGCAAUGGGGGAAACCCUGACGCAGCAACACCGCGUGGGUGAUGAAGGCCUUCGGGUUGUAAAGCCCUUUCUGUUGGGAAGAAGGGAGUUGGCUUAAAUAGAGUCAGCUUUUGAUGGUACCAAAAGAAGAAGCACCGGCAAACUUCGUGCCAGCCGCCGCCGUAA